Molecule: ribosomal RNA, 729 nt
Filed under: Ditylenchus terricolus
Lineage: Eukaryota; Metazoa; Nematoda; Chromadorea; Rhabditida; Anguinidae
Description: eukaryotic LSU rRNA
Rfam family: Eukaryotic large subunit ribosomal RNA
Source: RNAcentral
CAGAUCCGUGAGGGGAAAUUGGUGUAAUCGGUUUCUUUCCACAAAACAAACUCCGAGGGAGGUGAGUGUUUUUUUGACUUCCUUCCCCAAACAAUCCCGCUUAUGGUUGCUCGGUUGGUUUGUUUGUGCGGCACGGUAGUGCAUUUGCAAGUGGAGUGCGCCGAGGCGCACACAGCAGCGGUUGGGUAUGCGCUUUGAGGGCCCUUCUUCGGAUGGGUAUCCCUGGCGUCUGGAAGACUGUUUGCCGUGUGUGGUCUAUGAGCAUGGACUUAACACGAGUCGGCUGGCGGCUUGCACUGCUGCUGGUUGUGGUCGCAUGCGACUGCGCCAGUGGUGGGGUAGGUCGUCGGUGCAGGCUCUCAUGCUCACUUUCGGUGUAAAAGUCGGUCAUCUAUCCGACCCGUCUUGAAACACGGACCAAGGAGUUUAGCGUGUGCGCGAGUCAUUGGGUGUUGAAAGCCUAAAGGCGCAAUGAAAGUAAAGGCAUCCUUACGGAGCUGAUAUGCGAUCCCGAGUGCUUCGGUGCUUGGGCGCAGCAUAGCCCCAUCCUAAUUGCUUGCAAUGGGGUGGAGGUAGAGCGUACUCGCUGAGACCCGAAAGAUGGUGAACUAUGCCUGAGCAGGAUGAAGCCAGAGGAAACUCUGGUGGAAGUCCGAAGUCGUUCUGACGUGCAAAUCGAUCGUCUGACUUGGGUAUAGGGGCGAAAGACUAAUCGAACCAUCUAGUAGC